Molecule: long non-coding RNA, 303 nt
Filed under: Carica papaya (papaya)
Lineage: Eukaryota; Viridiplantae; Streptophyta; Magnoliopsida; Brassicales; Caricaceae
Description: long non-coding RNA (CPAP_LNC011518)
Source: RNAcentral
UUAGAAUUUUUAUUUCUGAGGGGUGUCGAUUGCCUUAACCCCAUACAGGGGAUCUAUUUUUCCCUUACCCAUAUGGUUUGAAAAUACAUAAGAGGACCGCUCCCUGUGGAUGACAACGUACCCUCUGACGAGAGUGGUGACAUGAAUAUCUGUUAGGGAUCACAUUUGGCUAAGUACUGUUGUGACUAUAGAAUAUCUUAUAGGACAAUUAUGGUCGAUACUGCUGUGGUCAUAGAUCGUACCAUAGUUUGACAAGCCAGAAAUAUGCAUGAGUAAAUUACUGUUAUCUGUAUCUGAUCUGGU